This 1609-nucleotide ribosomal RNA is filed under the name Grimontia hollisae CIP 101886. RNAcentral describes it as "Bacterial large subunit ribosomal RNA". It matches the Rfam family "Bacterial large subunit ribosomal RNA", at positions 1 to 1550 of the family's 2925-position model. The record is from Rfam by way of RNAcentral. Lineage: Bacteria; Pseudomonadati; Pseudomonadota; Gammaproteobacteria; Vibrionales; Vibrionaceae.
GGUUAAGUGACUAAGCGUACACGGUGGAUGCCUGGGCAGUCAGAGGCGAUGAAGGACGUAGUAACUUGCGAUAAGCCCAGAUAAGGCAGUAACAGCCACUUGAGUCUGGGAUUUCCGAAUGGGGAAACCCACUUACAUAAGUAAGUAUCAUUAACUGAAUCCAUAGGUUAAUGAGGCGAACUCGGGGAACUGAAACAUCUAAGUACCCGAAGGAAAAGAAAUCAAUUGAGAUUCCGGCAGUAGCGGCGAGCGACCCCGGACCAGCCCUUAAGCUUGUUGUGCGUUAGUGGAAGCCACUGGAAAGUGGCGCGAUACAGGGUGAUAGCCCCGUACACGACAACGCACAGUGAGUGAAAACGAGUAAGACGGGACACGUGUUAUCUUGUCUGAAGAUGGGGGGACCAUCCUCCAAGGCUAAAUACUCCUGACUGACCGAUAGUGAACCAGUACCGUGAGGGAAAGGCGAAAAGAACCCCUGUGAGGGGAGUGAAAUAGAACCUAAAACCGUGUACGUACAAGCAGUGGGAGCCCUAUCACCAAAGUGCUUAUCCGAGCAUGAAGGUGACAGCGUGAAGUGAAUUCACACUGUUGUCGUUGCGUUGUUUGCAACGACAAACCUCAAAAAUCAAGCAGUAGGCUUGAGUGCUUUGGGAUAGGGUGACUGCGUACCUUUUGUAUAAUGGGUCAGCGACUUACGUUAUGUAGCAAGGUUAACCGCAUAGGGGAGCCGUAGGGAAACCGAGUCUUAACUGGGCGUUCAGUUGCAUGACGUAGACCCGAAACCGGGUGAUCUAGCCAUGGGCAGGUUGAAGAUUGAGUAACAUCAAUUGGAGGACCGAACCGACUAAUGUUGAAAAAUUAGCGGAUGACUUGUGGCUAGGGGUGAAAGGCCAAUCAAACCCGGAGAUAGCUGGUUCUCCCCGAAAGCUAUUUAGGUAGCGCCUCGGACGAAUACUACUGGGGGUAGAGCACUGUUAAGGCUAGGGGGUCAUCCCGACUUACCAACCCUUUGCAAACUCCGAAUACCAGUAAGUAGUAUCCGGGAGACACACGGCGGGUGCUAACGUCCGUCGUGGAGAGGGAAACAACCCAGACCGCCAGCUAAGGUCCCCAAGUUAUCGCUAAGUGGGAAACGAUGUGGGAAGGCUCAGACAGCCAGGAUGUUGGCUUAGAAGCAGCCAUCAUUUAAAGAAAGCGUAAUAGCUCACUGGUCGAGUCGGCCUGCGCGGAAGAUGUAACGGGGCUAAGCGAUACACCGAAGCUGCGGCAGUGUGUUUAGGCACAUUGGGUAGGGGAGCGUUCUGUAAGCCGUAGAAGGUGUGCUGUAAGGCAUGCUGGAGGUAUCAGAAGUGCGAAUGCUGACAUGAGUAACGAUAAAGGGGGUGAAAAACCUCCUCGCCGGAAGACCAAGGGUUCCUGUCCAACGUUAAUCGGGGCAGGGUAAGUCGGCCCCUAAGGCGAGGCCGAAAGGCGUAGUCGAUGGGAAACGGGUUAAUAUUCCCGUACUGCUGAUAACUGCGAUGGGGGGACGGAGAAGGCUAGGUGGGCCACGGCGACGGUUGUCCUGGUUCAAGUGCGUAGGUAGGUGAGUUAGGCAAAUCCGGCUCGC